UACGUAGGGGGCAAGCGUUGUCCGGAAUCAUUGGGCGUAAAGCGCGUGUAGGCGGCCCGGUAAGUCCGCUGUGAAAGUCGGGGGCUCAACCCUCGGAUGCCGGUGGAUACUGUCGGGCUAGAGUGCGGGAGAGGCGAGUGGAAUUCCUGGUGUAGCGGUGAAAUGCGUAGAUAUUGGGAGGAACACCAGUGGCGAAGGCGGCUCACUGGACCGGAACUGACGCUGAGGCGCGAAAGCGUGGGGAGCAAACGGG
This 253-nucleotide ribosomal RNA is filed under the name uncultured bacterium. Its description in RNAcentral is "partial 16S ribosomal RNA". It matches the Rfam family "Bacterial small subunit ribosomal RNA", at positions 524 to 776 of the family's 1533-position model. The record is from RNAcentral.